AGCCCAGUAGCGUAAUGGUAGCAUUAUCCAUCCUAUGGAAUGUGUGGGUUCGAAUCCUGCCCGGGCUG
This is a non-coding RNA of Hypoxylon fuscum, 68 nucleotides long. The record is from the annotation of a GenBank genome assembly. Lineage: Eukaryota; Fungi; Ascomycota; Sordariomycetes; Xylariales; Hypoxylaceae.